RNAcentral lists this long non-coding RNA (222 nucleotides) under Lathyrus oleraceus (garden pea). RNAcentral's name for it is "Pisum sativum (pea) long non-coding RNA (PSAT_LNC003150)". Lineage: Eukaryota; Viridiplantae; Streptophyta; Magnoliopsida; Fabales; Fabaceae. The record is from RNAcentral.
UUCUAUGGGUACCCUUUCACUCAAACUUUGUCAUGGUAUAUAUAGUGAGCAUGUAGGGUUUCUUUAUUUUUUAAAUGGCAAUAGUGCCCUUGGAGUGUUAUUUUAGAGAUAAAAUAAGAUAAAACAAAUUAAAUUAAAUUAAAUUAACACUUUAAAAAUAAUCACAGUAAAAAUGAAACAAUACUACAGUUAAAUCUAUUUAUUUUUUAUGAACGUUUUGAU